GCCUGAGUGGUGGAAUUGGCAGACGCGACGGAUUCAAAAUCCGUUGUCCGCAAGGACGUGUGAGUUCGAGUCUCACCUCAGGCACCA
RNAcentral lists this transfer RNA (87 nucleotides) under Atopobium minutum. RNAcentral describes it as "tRNA-Leu". It matches the Rfam family "tRNA". From Rfam's summary of the family: Transfer RNA (tRNA) molecules are approximately 80 nucleotides in length. Their secondary structure includes four short double-helical elements and three loops (D, anti-codon, and T loops). The record is from RNAcentral. Lineage: Bacteria; Bacillati; Actinomycetota; Coriobacteriia; Coriobacteriales; Atopobiaceae. RNAcentral also lists the same sequence under 3 other names.